RNAcentral lists this ribosomal RNA (746 nucleotides) under uncultured bacterium. RNAcentral describes it as "bacterial SSU rRNA". It matches the Rfam family "Bacterial small subunit ribosomal RNA", at positions 33 to 773 of the family's 1533-position model. The record is from RNAcentral.
ACGCUGGCGGCAGGCCUAACACAUGCAAGUCGAGCGGUAGAGAGAAGCUUGCUUCUCUUGAGAGCGGCGGACGGGUGAGUAAUGCCUAGGAAUCUGCCUGGUAGUGGGGGAUAACGUUCGGAAACGGACGCUAAUACCGCAUACGUCCUACGGGAGAAAGCAGGGGACCUUCGGGCCCUUGCGCUAUCAGAUGAGCCUAGGUCGGAUUAGCUAGUUGGUGAGGUAAUGGCUCACCAAGGCGACGAUCCGUAACUGGUCUGAGAGGAUGAUCAGUCACACUGGAACUGAGACACGGUCCAGACUCCUACGGGAGGCAGCAGUGGGGAAUAUUGGACAAUGGGCGAAAGCCUGAUCCAGCCAUGCCGCGUGUGUGAAGAAGGUCUUCGGAUUGUAAAGCACUUUAAGUUGGGAGGAAGGGCAGUUACCUAAUACGUGAUUGUUUUGACGUUACCGACAGAAUAAGCACCGGCUAACUCUGUGCCAGCAGCCGCGGUAAUACAGAGGGUGCAAGCGUUAAUCGGAAUUACUGGGCGUAAAGCGCGCGUAGGUGGUUUGUUAAGUUGGAUGUGAAAUCCCCGGGCUCAACCUGGGAACUGCAUUCAAAACUGACUGACUAGAGUAUGGUAGAGGGUGGUGGAAUUUCCUGUGUAGCGGUGAAAUGCGUAGAUAUAGGAAGGAACACCAGUGGCGAAGGCGACCACCUGGACUGAUACUGACACUGAGGUGCGAAAGCGUGGGGAGCAAAC